UACGGAGGAUGCAAGCGUUAUCCGGAAUGAUUGGGCGUAAAGCGUCCGCAGGUGGCAGUUCAAGUCUGCUGUCAAAGACCGGGGCUUAACUUCGGAAAGGCAGUGGAAACUGAACAGCUAGAGUAUGGUAGGGGCAGAGGGAAUUCCUGGUGUAGCGGUGAAAUGCGUAGAGAUCAGGAAGAACAUCGGUGGCGAAGGCGCUCUGCUGGACCAGAACUGACACUCAGGGACGAAAGCUAGGGGAGCGAAUGGG
This 253-nucleotide ribosomal RNA is filed under the name uncultured bacterium. RNAcentral's name for it is "partial 16S ribosomal RNA". It matches the Rfam family "Bacterial small subunit ribosomal RNA", at positions 524 to 776 of the family's 1533-position model. The record is from RNAcentral.